UCAAUUAUCGUCUCCACGCCCCACAAACUCGAAAAGAAAAUAAUUGAAGAGUUAUUUAAUAUUUAUUUACAGACAUAUCACCCCACGUUUAAUUAAAGCUACAUUAUAUUUAUGUUGUUUUGCUAGUACUUGCUAUUUCUCAACCGUUGGAUCCACUUUAUAUAUAAAAAAUGAUCAUUAUCUUAUGGAGUCGUCGUUUAGGAAUCAGGCAACGUUCAAUGUUUCCGAAAUAUUUUACAAAAUAUCUUUUGUGAUAAGCAAAUUGUGAUAACCUUGCGCACGAAUCAUAUCACAUUUUGACAAAGUUAUACUAAUUGUGGCAGCUGUGGUAACCUCGCCUACAAUAAUAAUAAUUCACUGAUAUAGACAUUUCCCUAUCAAUAUUCAGUACCAUUAUCACAAACAUACAAAUGGCAAGUGGCAAUAAGCU
This 430-nucleotide long non-coding RNA is filed under the name Brassica napus (rape). RNAcentral's name for it is "long non-coding RNA (BNAP_LNC009151)". The record is from RNAcentral. Lineage: Eukaryota; Viridiplantae; Streptophyta; Magnoliopsida; Brassicales; Brassicaceae.